This is a non-coding RNA of Acanthosepion pharaonis, 92 nucleotides long. The record is from the annotation of a GenBank genome assembly. Lineage: Eukaryota; Metazoa; Mollusca; Cephalopoda; Sepiida; Sepiidae.
GCUGAAACACCGGUUCUCGUUCGAUCACCAAAGUUAAGCAACGUCGUGCCUGAGUACUUGGGUGACCGCUUGGGAAUAGCAUGUGCUGUAAG